GACGAACGCUGGCGGCGUGCCUAAUACAUGCAAGUAGAACGCUGAAGGAGGAGCUUGCUUCUCUGGAUGAGUUGCGAACGGGUGAGUAACGCGUAGGUAACCUGCCUGGUAGCGGGGGAUAACUAUUGGAAACGAUAGCUAAUACCGCAUAAUAGUAGAUGUCGCAUGACAUUUGCUUAAAAGGUGCAAUUGCAUCACUACCAGAUGGACCUGCGUUGUAUUAGCUAGUUGGUGAGGUAACGGCUCACCAAGGCAACGAUACAUAGCCGACCUGAGAGGGUGAUCGGCCACACUGGGACUGAGGCACGGCCCAGACUCCUACGGGAGGCAGCAGUAGGGAAUCUUCGGCAAUGGACGGAAGUCUGACCGAGCAACGCCGCGUGAGUGAAGAAGGUUUUCGGAUCGUAAAGCUCUGUUGUAAGAGAAGAACGAGUGUGAGAGUGGAAAGUUCACACUGUGACGGUAUCUUACCAGAAAGGGACGGCUAACUACGUG
Molecule: ribosomal RNA, 495 nt
Filed under: uncultured bacterium
Lineage: Bacteria
Description: partial 16S ribosomal RNA
Rfam family: Bacterial small subunit ribosomal RNA
Source: RNAcentral